GACGAACGCUGGCGGCGUGCUUAACACAUGCAAGUCGAACGGAAAGGCCUUUUCGGAGGUACUCGAGUGGCGAACGGGUGAGUAACACGUGGGUGAUCUGCCCUGCACUCUGGGAUAAGCCUGGGAAACUGGGUCUAAUACCGGAUAGGACCGCACUUUAGCGUGUGUGGGGGAAAGUGUUUUCGGUGUAGGAUGAGCCCGCGGCCGAUCAGCUUGUUGGUGGGGUAAUGGCCUACCAAGGCGGCGACGGGUAGCCGGACUGGGAGGUUGGUCGGCCACAGUGGGACUGAGAUACGGCCCAGACUCCUACGGGAGGCAGCAGUGGGGAAUGUUGCACAAUGGGCGCGAGCCUGAUGCAGCGACGCCGCGUGGGGGAUGACGGCCUUCGGGUUGUAAACUCCUUUCGCCAGGGACGAAGCGUUUUGUGACGGUACCUGGAGAAGAAGCACCGGCUAACUACGUG
RNAcentral lists this ribosomal RNA (463 nucleotides) under uncultured bacterium. RNAcentral describes it as "partial 16S ribosomal RNA". It matches the Rfam family "Bacterial small subunit ribosomal RNA", at positions 28 to 507 of the family's 1533-position model. The record is from RNAcentral.